This 407-nucleotide ribosomal RNA is filed under the name Verrucomicrobiota bacterium. Its description in RNAcentral is "Verrucomicrobia bacterium partial 16S ribosomal RNA". It matches the Rfam family "Bacterial small subunit ribosomal RNA", at positions 355 to 776 of the family's 1533-position model. Lineage: Bacteria; Pseudomonadati; Verrucomicrobiota. The record is from RNAcentral.
UGGGGAAUAUUGGGCAAUGGGCGAAAGCCUGACCCAGCAACGCCGCGUGAAGUAUGAAGGCCUUCGGGUUGUAAACUUCUUUGAUCAGGGAAGAAACAAAUGACGGUACCCGAAAAACAAGCCACGGCUAACUACGUGCCAGCAGCCGCGGUAAUACGGAGGUGGCGAGCGUUAUCCGGAUUUACUGGGUGUAAAGGGCGUGCAGGCGGGCUGAUAAGUCAGAUGUGAAAUCCCCGAGCUUAACUCGGGAACUGCGUCUGAUACUGUUGGUCUUUGGUGCUGGAGAGGGUAGUGGAAUUCCUAGUGUAGCGGUAAAAUGCGCAGAUAUUAGGAGGAACACCAGUGGCGAAGGCGGCUAUCUGGACAGUAACUGACGCUGAGGCGCGAAAGCGUGGGUAGCAAACAGG